GGAUGAAACCUUGGAGAGACUCGAAAUAGAGCACCGAAGGAGCAAGCCUGAAAAGGCGAAACUCUCAGGUAAAAGGACAGGGGACAGAUA
This 90-nucleotide non-coding RNA is filed under the name Clostridium saccharobutylicum. Its description in RNAcentral is "Glycine sequence". It matches the Rfam family "Glycine riboswitch aptamer". From Rfam's summary of the family: This family represents the bacterial glycine riboswitch. Glycine riboswitches usually consist of two metabolite-binding aptamers domains with similar structures in tandem. The aptamers cooperatively bind glycine to regulate the expression of downstream genes. RNAcentral also lists the same sequence under 1 other name. The record is from RNAcentral. Lineage: Bacteria; Bacillati; Bacillota; Clostridia; Eubacteriales; Clostridiaceae.